This 514-nucleotide ribosomal RNA is filed under the name Helicocranchia pfefferi. RNAcentral describes it as "partial small subunit ribosomal RNA". It matches the Rfam family "Bacterial large subunit ribosomal RNA", at positions 1816 to 2600 of the family's 2925-position model. The record is from RNAcentral. RNAcentral also lists the same sequence under 1 other name. Lineage: Eukaryota; Metazoa; Mollusca; Cephalopoda; Oegopsida; Cranchiidae.
GUCUCUUUGUGUGCUAUAAAUAAAGAGUCGGGCCUGCUCGGUGAAUAAUUGUUUUAACAGCUGCGGUAUUUUAACUGUACUAAGGUAGCAUAAUAAUUUGCCUUAUAAUUUGAGGCUAGAAUGAAUGGUUUGACGAAGGUUAAUCUGUCUCUAUUCUAUUUUUUAGAAAUUAAUUUUUAAAGUGAAAAAGCUUAUAUUUUUUAAAGGGACGAGAAGACCCUAUUGAGCUUAUAAUUUUAUUACUAUUAUUAUUGUAUGUGUGUAGUAGUAUAUAAAUUUUAAUUGGGGUGAUUAGGGAAUAAAAUAAUAAAUAUAGUAACUUCCUUAGAAUUAAUAUUGUUGGGUAAAGUAACCAAUAUUAUUGCUUAUAUUAUAGUUACCAUAGGGAUAACAGCGUAAUUUAUUUAGAGAGUUCUUAUUAAAAAAUGAGAUUGCGACCUCGAUGUUGGAUUAAAGUAACCUUAAGGUGCAGAAGCUUUAAUAGGUAAAUCUGUUCGAUUUUUAAAACUUUACA